RNAcentral lists this long non-coding RNA (1026 nucleotides) under Anser brachyrhynchus (Pink-footed goose). RNAcentral's name for it is "lncRNA (ENSABRG00000021480.1)". Lineage: Eukaryota; Metazoa; Chordata; Aves; Anseriformes; Anatidae. The record is from RNAcentral.
AUGUGCAGAAAGGCGGCCCAACGCGUCCAGAUGCAGCACGGUUAUUUCUUCCGCUCACUUCGUGCAACUGACCCGUCUCUCCCCUCACCUCCCAGCAGGUGGACCAGCCCCUCCCCGCGGGGUGCCCUGCCAGGGCAGACCCCAGCGCCUCCAGGAGCGUUUCCCCCGCUCGCCGGGGGCUGCCCCGGCUGCACCCGCGGGGCGCCCCAGCCGCAGCGCGCUACCCCCCCGGGCCGCAGGCCGGGCACGACGCGCCCCCCCGCCCCUCGCAGCCCCGCUCCCUUCCAGGCCGGGCGGCGGCCCUGCCCCGCUCCCUCCGCCACCCACCCCCGGCUGGGCCUAGCGCCGCUCGGCUGCUGCCGCCAUGCCCGCGGAGAAGGGGGAAGGAGAUCCCCAGCCGGGCGGGGGGCCCCCACUCACCCAGGCCGAUCCCCUCAGGGCCGCCCCCGCCGCCUUCCAUGCCGGGCGGCGCGGGGCGGGGGGCGCAGCAGGGGCGGCGGCGGGCGGGCGGAGGAGGCGAGGCGGGAGGGCGGAGGGCAGGGCGGCCGGGGCCCUCCCUCCCCGCCUGCCUCCGCUCGGCCCCCUCGGCCGCCGCCGCGGCGCUCGAGCAGCCUCCGCCUCGGGGUCGGGGUCGAGCUCGGGGGCAGGCCCAGGCUCCGCCACCGCCGGCGGACGCGGCUCCCGCCCGGGCUCCCGCUCCCCUCGGCCGCCGCCGCAGCGCUACGUGGCCGCCGCAGCCAGUCUCGCGACUCCGCCGCGCGCACGCGCGCGGGAGCGCGCCGAGGAGGUGGCUGCCGCGAGCGGGGCGGGGGGGGACGCGCGCGCGCUGGGCAGGGGGGAAACUCCCAUAGGCCGAGGGGAACGCGAGCCAGGGGCGCAUGCGCCGUCGGGCGGCUGCCGGCUCCCCUCCCGCUCGCGAUUCACCUCGGGCCGCGGCGGAGCCGGAGGGGAGCGCGGCGCGCAGGCAACCAGGAAGUUACAAAGAUUCUUUUGCAAAGGGCUGAUCUGGUAGAUAAAGGUGAUUAG